UACGAAGGGGGCUAGCGUUGCUCGGAUUUACUGGGCGUAAAGGGCGCGUAGGCGGACAGUUAAGUUGGGGGUGAAAGCCCGGGGCUCAACCUCGGAAUUGCCUUCAAUACUGGCUGUCUUGAGUGUGAGAGAGGUGUGUGGAACUCCGAGUGUAGAGGUGAAAUUCGUAGAUAUUCGGAAGAACACCAGUGGCGAAGGCGACUCACUGGCUCACUACUGACGCUGAGGCGCGAAAGCGUGGGGAGCAAACAGG
RNAcentral lists this ribosomal RNA (253 nucleotides) under uncultured bacterium. Its description in RNAcentral is "partial 16S ribosomal RNA". It matches the Rfam family "Bacterial small subunit ribosomal RNA", at positions 524 to 776 of the family's 1533-position model. The record is from RNAcentral.